Long non-coding RNA from Pangasianodon hypophthalmus (striped catfish), 1012 nucleotides. RefSeq lists it as uncharacterized. The transcript is spliced from 3 exons. The record is from RefSeq and is a predicted model, not a curated record. NCBI's taxonomy places the organism in Eukaryota, Metazoa, Chordata, Actinopteri, Siluriformes, Pangasiidae.
UUUCAUAAACAAACAAAUAACCUCAGAUGACAAAAAAAAACCCACAAAGAUAUCAAUAUCAUUAGUCAUUAAUCAGUAGUCAUUUUUUCCCCCAAAAAACUACAUUCAGAAACCAGGUGAGAAAAGUCAGUACACCCUUCCUAUUUCCACAAUCAUUAAAAGAGUAAUUAGCAGUCAGGUGUUACUAAUGAAAUGCACACAAUUAGUUAAUCAUCAAGAAGUGUGACUACCUCUAUAAAAGCAGAACUUUUGGCAGUUUGAUGUUCUGGGGUGUGUUGCAGAAAAGCCUUAAGUUAAGAUGUGAUAAGUUAAAUUAUGAUUUUUCACAAAUUUGUAUUAUAGAACUUAAUUUUCUUAUCUUAUCUUACAAAAUCUUAUCUGUAGUUAGGAAAUCUUAAACCACUCCAUCAAGUUUGAUAAUCAACUCUGAGGUCUGUUACCAAGCAACCAACAAUGUGCAAGCUGCUGCUGUGAUGUAAACAUUAGAUUGAAAUGGAAAAAACAAAAUCAGCGUGGUUUUAAUUUCAGUGCUGCAGAAAUUGAAGUUUUGAUCAGCUUGGUAGAAAAAGCAAAGCCUGUUAUAUUCUGUAAGUUUUCACCUUCACUCACAAAGACAGAAAGUGGACAAGAGACACAAAGAAUGUGUGUGCGCUGUCUGGCAUUUACUGUACACCAGACUCUGUGAAGAAAACAUCUACCACUCUAAUAAGUGAAAAAAAGAAGACUGCUGUGUAGGCAAGGGAAAUAAAGAAUACAGGAGGUGGAACGAGUGACACUCCAUCAUUAACCCUUUCAGAUGUUGGGUGUCAUUCAGAAGGUGCAGUAUGAAGGUAGGACUGGAGUUGGAGCAGCAUGAACUGACGACAAUACAGCUGUCAGAUCUGUUCGAGGGAACAUCAGUAGAGCCUCGUCAAUUCCCACCCCAAUUGAGAGGCAGCGAGGAGAUAAAGAGGGGGAGAGAAGAGCCACGGGGGAGAGAGAUGAGAAACAUGGAAGUGUGUGUGUGUGUGUG